GCCGAAAGGUUGUAAAAUCCUUUUAAGCCUGAUGAAUAAGUACAAUAGGGAAUGAUUGUGCGGUGACCGUAGGGCUUGAAUAAGCACCGGCUAAUUACGUGCCAGCAGCCGCGGUAACACGUAAGGUGCGAGCGUUGUUCGGAAUUAUUGGGCGUAAAGGGCAUGUAGGCGGAUAGGCAAGCUUGGUGUGAAAUGUUACAGCUUAACUGUGAGACAGCAUUGAGAACUGCAGAUCUUGAAUUACUGAAGGGUAACCAGAAUUCCACGUGUAGGGGUGAAAUCUGUAGAUAUGUGGAAGAAUACCAAUGGCGAAGGCAGGUUACCGGCAGAUAAUUGACGCUGAGGUGCGAAAGUGCGGGGAGCGAACAGGAUUAGAUACCCUGGUAGUCCGCACCGUAAACGAUGUACACUAGGUGUCUGGCAUAACAGCUGGGUGCCAAAGCAAACGUGAUAAGUGUACCGCCUGGGGAGUAUGCCCGCAAGGGUGAAACUCAAAGGAAUUGACGGGGGCCCGCACAAG
This 520-nucleotide ribosomal RNA is filed under the name uncultured bacterium. RNAcentral describes it as "bacterial SSU rRNA". It matches the Rfam family "Bacterial small subunit ribosomal RNA", at positions 414 to 929 of the family's 1533-position model. The record is from RNAcentral.